Molecule: ribosomal RNA, 441 nt
Filed under: uncultured bacterium
Lineage: Bacteria
Description: partial 16S ribosomal RNA
Rfam family: Bacterial small subunit ribosomal RNA
Source: RNAcentral
CCUACGGGAGGCAGCAGUGGGGGAUAUUGCACAAUGGGGGGAACCCUGAUGCAGCGACGCCGCGUGGGUGAAAGAGUGCUUCGGCAUGUAAAGCCCUAUCGGCAGGGAAGAAGCAAGACGGUACCUGGCUAAGAAGCCCCGGCUAACUACGUGCCAGCAGCGGCGGUAAUACGUAGGGGCCGAGCGUUAUCCGGGUUCACUGGGUGUAAAGGGAGCGUAGACGGGCAUGCAAGCCAGGGGUGAAAGCCCGGGGGCCAACGCAGGGACUGCCCUUGGAACUGCAUGGCUGGAGUGCGGGUGGGGCAGGCGGAAGGCGUGGUGUAGCGGUGAAAUGCGUAGAUAUCAGGAGGAACACCGGCGGCGAAGGCGGCCUGCGGGACCGCGACUGACGUUGAGGCUCGAAAGCGUGGGGAGCGAACAGGAUUAGGUACCCCUGUAGUC